UGUGUCAGUGUGUGUUAGUCAUUUUUUAUAAAAGCCUGGUCAUCUCACGCAGAGACUCAUGGGAGUUGGAGUUUUGUAGAAGCACACUUUUUUUGGGGGCUUGUCUGUCAACCACGCUCUCAUCUGAACAAUAAGCUAAUCAGGACAGCUAAUUUUUCUCUCUCUCUCUCUCUCUCUCUCUCCCCAACUAUUUUUUCUCUGUCUCCCCUUCUCCUUCUCUGACUCUCUUUUCGUCUCAUUCUGUGUCUCUCUCAGUAUCUCUCUCCAUUUAUGUGUGUAUAUCUAUUUCUCUGUCCCUCUCUUUCUCCGUCAUUCUCCGUUCAUCUCUCUCUCUCUCUCAGUCGCUCUCUCUAUAUAUCUAUCUCCCUUUCUCUUUCUCAGUCUCUCUUAGUAUCUCUCUCUGUUUAUCUCUCUCUUUCUCUCGGUGUCUCUCCCUCUCUCUUUCUCGAUAUCUCUCUUUGUCCAUCUCUCUCGGUCUCUCUCCAUUCACCUCUCUCUUUCUCGGUCGCUCUCUCUCUGUACAUCCAUCUCCCUCUCUCUUCCUCGGUCUCUCUUAGUAUCUCUCUCUGCUUAUCUCCCUCUUCCUCUCGGUGUCUCUCUCUCCCUCUCUCUUUCUCGAUGUCUCUCUCUGUCCAUCUCUCUCCCUCUCUGUCUCUCUCGGUUGUGUCUCUCUCCCUCUCUCUCUCUCUCUCGGUGUCUCCCUCUGUUUAUAUCUCUCUGUAUAUCUCUCUCCCUCUCUCUUUCUUGGUCUCUCUCGGUGUCUCUCUCUGUUUAUCUCUCUCCCUCUCUCGGUGUCUCCCUCUGUUUAUAUCUCUCUGCAUAUCUCUCUCCCUCUCUCUUUCUUGGUCUCUCUCGGUGUCUCUCUUUGUCUCUCUCUGUACAUCUCUCUCUUUCUCGGUCUCUCUCUGUUUAUCUCUCUCCCUCUCUCUUUCUCGGUCUCUCUCGGGGUCUCUCACCGUACAUCUCUCUCGGUCUCUUGUGACAUUCUUAUCGGAGGUGACGGCAACUGUCGCUCUGGUUGUGCUUCUCAAUGUCUCUGCAUUUAAAAAAGCACACGAUAAAAAAGGAUCCCCUGUUGUUUCUCGUGCUUCCGCAUCGUGUUCUAUUGAAAUCUUUCUUUUACACUUUCUCUCUUGGUCUUUGCCGCACAGAUCUUGCUCGAUCCGUAUGCGUGCGUGCGUGCGUGUCUCUCUCUCUCUCUCUCCUAUGCAUCUUUCCCUCGCUUUAAUUUCUCGUUCUCUUUCCUCCUCUUUCAAUCGUUUCAUCUCUUUUGGAGUCUCUGGUUCUUUGGUCCUGAUUUUAUGGAAAGUUGAAAACACCCACAAAAGUGUGCAAACUGAUUUACUAACUCUUUCACACGAGUAAAAAGGUUUCC
Long non-coding RNA from Ictalurus punctatus (channel catfish), 1375 nucleotides. NCBI's taxonomy places the organism in Eukaryota, Metazoa, Chordata, Actinopteri, Siluriformes, Ictaluridae. The record is from Ensembl.